CACGCCCUAAACGAUGUCAACUAGGUGUUGGGAGCGCAAGUUCUUGGUACCGCAGCUAACGCGUGAAGUUGACCGCCUGGGGAGUACGGUCGCAAGAUUAAAACUCAAAGGAAUUGACGGGGACCCGCACAAGCGGUGGAUGAUGUGGAUUAAUUCGAUGCAACGCGAACAACCUUACCUACCCUUGACAUGUCCGGAAGCCUGGUGAAAGCCGGGGGUGCUCGCAAGAGAACCGGAACACAGGUGCUGCAUGGCUGUCGUCAGCUCGUGUCGUGAGAUGUUGGGUUAAGUCCCGCAACGAGCGCAACCCUUGUCCUUAGUUGCUACGCAAGGGCACUCUAAGGAGACUGCCGGUGACAAACCGGAGGAAGGUGGGGAUGACGUCAAGUCCUCAUGGCCCUUAUGGGUAGGGCUUCACACGUCAUACAAUGGUCGGUACAGAGGGUAGCCAACCCGCGAGGGGGAGCCAAUCCCAGAAAGCCGAUCGUAGUCCGGAUCGCAGUCUGCAACUCGACUGCGUGAAGUCGGAAUCGCUAGUAAUCGCGGGUCAGCAUGUCGCGGUGAAUACGUUCCCGGGUCUUGUACUUCACCCGCCUCGUCGCAGCCAAAACCAA
Molecule: ribosomal RNA, 614 nt
Filed under: uncultured bacterium
Lineage: Bacteria
Description: bacterial SSU rRNA
Rfam family: Bacterial small subunit ribosomal RNA
Source: RNAcentral